AACUCUCAACAACGGAUAUCUUGGCUCCCGCCAACGAUGAAGAACGCAGCGAAAUGCGAUACCUAGUGUGAAUUGCAGAAUUCCGUGAAUCAUCGAGUCUUUGAACGCAUAUCGCGCUCGAGGCCUCGGCCGAGAGCAUGUCUGCCUCAGCGUC
This 154-nucleotide ribosomal RNA is filed under the name Dictyochloropsis sp. LMCC-AM02. RNAcentral describes it as "5.8S ribosomal RNA". It matches the Rfam family "5.8S ribosomal RNA". Rfam says of the family: 5.8S ribosomal RNA (5.8S rRNA) is a component of the large subunit of the eukaryotic ribosome. It is transcribed by RNA polymerase I as part of the 45S precursor that also contains 18S and 28S rRNA. Lineage: Eukaryota; Viridiplantae; Chlorophyta; Trebouxiophyceae; Trebouxiales; Trebouxiaceae. The record is from RNAcentral.